Molecule: long non-coding RNA, 312 nt
Filed under: Homo sapiens (human)
Lineage: Eukaryota; Metazoa; Chordata; Mammalia; Primates; Hominidae
Description: HSALNT0391607
Source: RNAcentral
CUAUGCUCCUUUGCUCAGGACUGGGAUGAGGGAGAUGACUAAUGUGUGACGCCAACAUGUCACGCCACACACCGGGAAAUACUAACGCAUAGGCUUCCAUUCCAGCAGUAUGGGCAACAAGAGAAAUAUCCUCAAUCUAAUAGAAGCACACAUCAAUCUGGGACCACAGAGAGUAUUCAUCAGGACUUCACAGGUCCACUGGGCCACAGCAGCCGGUCCAUGGACUCCAGAUCUAGAACCCAUGCUGGGUAGAAACCCCUUCAACUGCUCAGGCAAGUCAUUGGAUCUAUCUGAGCCUGACUGGAUUUUUCA